Astatotilapia calliptera (eastern happy) is the source of this 330-nucleotide long non-coding RNA. The record is from Ensembl. Lineage: Eukaryota; Metazoa; Chordata; Actinopteri; Cichliformes; Cichlidae.
UAAAAUUACUUCUGUUCAAGACGUGUUCUUAUCUAAGACGGUUAUUGUAAAAAAAAAAGUCCUCUAUAGGCUACAAGCUCCGGGAAUUCUGUGCUUCCCUGAUAGAGAGCGUCCCCCGGACUUUCCCACAUGAAUCAUAGCAUUAUGUUCAUCAUCGAUCAACAAGCAACAGGCUGACUGGUUCUGGCAUGACGCCUAAUAAGGUCUACAAUGAACACAUCCACUACUUCCAGACUGAAAAACAGCCAGACUGUAAUGGGGGAACGAAAGACGGAAACUAUAAAUAUUUAUCUUCGUCCGUGUCAGAAGUUCACCUUGUUUAUAUCUGUC